AUUCUAACAAUGGAUCCAAAAAAUUUAACUGCCCUCAAGGUCAAAUUACUGUAUCAAACGUGUUUUGAAGGGAACUAUGAGGAAGUUUCAAUUGGCUUGGGCAGCUUUUCUUCAAUUGCAGAGGAACAAGAGCCACAAAACUGGAAACUACUUCAUGAAGCAGCUGUCCUUUUUCUCAAACCUGUGGACGAGACAGAACUGUCCUCGCUUCAACGGAAUGUCUGCUGCAAAAAGCUUUGUCCAUUUCCUGCAACAAUUUAACUGUGGUCAAUGAGGUGGCUCAUCAGUACUAUUUGUCAAAAAAGUACAAAGAUGCAACGAAAGUUUACCGAAGUGCAUUGAAAAUAAAUGAGUCAUGCUUUACUGCUCUUGCAGGGCUCACCCUCUCAGCCAUAGCUGAGAAUGGAGUCACAUCACAGGUAAUGGCCUUGUAACGGAUUAAAAAUAAUAAUAGAUAGUUGUAAAACAUGGAAGAUUGCCAUUUGUCAAAUUUUAAUAACAUUUUGGGCACUGUAACUCCAAAGAGGGACCCAAAAAAAUACUAAUUAUCAGGAAUGAAAAAGUCUCUUAGAUACCAGAUCCAAGGGAAACAUCUCAUUUUAUAAAUAUCAUUGGUGUAGGUGGUAUAGAAAAUUACGAAGAAGUUAAGAACCUCACUUAAAAUCGACCACAUCUCAUGCAAAAGAGUGGAAAACUUGGAUCAUAUUAGAUAAAGAGUUGACCACCAAGCCACGUUGCAUCAACUUCAUUAAUGGACGAACCAGAUAGACUUAAGAGUUUUUUUUGUUUUUUUUCAUCACAUUUUUAGGUCUGCAAAAAAUCUUCAAAUUUAUUUUCCAUCAAAUUUUUAUUUCAAAAGGCAGAUUUGAUCUUAAAUAAAAUGUUUUCCAUCCUUUCACUAAAAUUUUGAGUAUUCCAUUUAGCAAUGUUGCGCUAGUCUCGGAAUUAAAUCCAGAGAUUUUCAGAUUAGUAAAAAACAAUAAGAUACACCCCAAUUUCAAGUUUCCAAGUCCAAUAUUUACGGAGAUGUGGCCCUUCAAAAAACACAGCUUAUGAUGUCCUGCCAUCGUGGUGGUGCAUCUUUACGGUUUCUUGAACCUUAGUUUCGUCCGUGUUAAAAGUUAAGGAACCAAUGCAAACAAGACAUGUGCAUCACGAACUGAUGAAUCCAAGGUGGAGGAAACCAUGACACAUACUACCGCGAUUGGCGUCAUACACUGUGUACUUUGAAGGGCGAUAUCCCUGUUAAUAUUGGAUGUAGAAAUCAGCGUGUGAACAGAUCUUAUAAUUGUUUGCUAAUUUAAAAGCUUAAACCAUCAAAAUAUCAUGUUAUCUCUAGUGCAACUUAUACAUUAUAUCUGUUUGAUAAUUUAAGACAUUUUUGGAACACAAUUCUGUCCACUUUCAGACAAAACAACAAGUGGAUUUCUUAAUAGAAAUUGCUGAGAAUAAAC
This 1454-nucleotide long non-coding RNA is filed under the name Bemisia tabaci. RNAcentral's name for it is "lncRNA ENSASIAIIG012067". The record is from RNAcentral. Lineage: Eukaryota; Metazoa; Arthropoda; Insecta; Hemiptera; Aleyrodidae.